UAUAAUAUGAGUUUGAUCCUGGCUCAGGAUGAACGCUAGUAGUAUGCUUAACACAUGCAAGUCGAACGGAAACUUGUUUUCGUGGCGAACGGGUGAGUAGAUGCAGAAUUUUCCCUUCUAGUUCAGUACAAAAAUUCUUUAUUGAAUUUAAAUUCUGAAUAAUUAAAGGUUUGUUUUAUACAUUCCGCUAGAAGAUAAAUCUGCUAAAGAUUAGGUUGUUGGUAAUUUAAUAGCUUACCAAGCCUUUGAUCUUUAGUUGGUCUUAGAGGAUGAUCAACCACACUGGAACUGAAAUAAGGUCCAGGCUGACAUGUCGGCCAGCAGUGAGGAAUAUUGGACAAUGAACGAAAGUUUGAUCCAGCAAUACUAACUGGGUGAUGACGGCUUAUUUAAGUUGUAAGAUCCUUUGAUUAGAGAAGAUAAUGACAUUAUUUAAUUGAAUUAGUCCUGGCUAAUACUCGUGCCAGCAGCCGCGGUAAUACGGGAAGGGCAAGCGUUAUCCGGCAUGACUGGGCGUAAAGAGUCCGUAGACUGUAAAGUAAGUUUUUUGUCAAAUUUUAAAACCCAAUUUUAAAACAGCAAUUAAUACUACUUUACUUCGAGUUUAAUACAGAAAAGUAGAAUUUUAUACGAAGGGGUGAAAUCUGUAGAUAUAUAAAGGAAUGUCAGUAGCGAAGGCGACUUUUUGGUAUAAACUGACGUUGAGGGACGAAAGUGUGGGUAGCAAACAGGAUUAGAGACCCUGGUAGUCCACACCGUAAAUUCUGAGUGCUGUAAUUUAAUUGUAAUAUUUUGAAUAUUAUUUAGAUUUUCAAGCUAACGCAAUAAGCACUCCGCCUGAAGAGUAUGAUCGCAAGAUUGGAACUCAAAGGAAUUGACGGGGGUCUAACACUAGUGGUGGAGCAUGUGGUUUAAUGCGAUAAUCCGCGCAAAACCUUACCAAUUCUUGACAUAAUUAAAUUUAUAGCUUUUAAUUCAGUGUAGGAGUUAGAAGUAAUGUUUUUUUACAGGUGUUGCACGACUGUCGUCAGCUCGUGUCGUGAGAUGUUUGGUUAAGUCCUGAAACGGGCGCAACUCUUACUUUUAAAUAAAGUAUCACGUUCUAAAAGAUUUUUAUAUGAAGAUCUUUUAAAUGCUUUAAAAGUACCGUCAAUGAUAAAUUGAAGGAAGGUAAGAAUGAAGUCAAGUCAAUGUGACCCUAAUGAAUUGGGCUACACAUGUGCUACAAUGAAAAUUACAAAAAGUGACAAAAAAGAAAAAUUUUAAGUUAAUCAACAAAAAUUUUCCCAGUUCGAAUUGUAGACUGCAACUCGUCUACAUGAAGUUGGAAUCACUAGUAAUCGCGAAUCAGAACGUCGCGGUGAACAUGUAACUUGGCCUUGUACACACCGCCCGUCACUUGCAAAGAAUCAGUUUCGCUUGAAGGUUUUAAUAAAACCCAUUGAGAGAUCGAUAAUUUGGAUGAAGUCGUAACAAGGUAGCUGUACGGGAACGUGUAGCUGGAACAAAAUGAAU
This 1515-nucleotide ribosomal RNA is filed under the name Cylindrotheca closterium. RNAcentral's name for it is "SSU rRNA". It matches the Rfam family "Bacterial small subunit ribosomal RNA". Lineage: Eukaryota; Bacillariophyta; Bacillariophyceae; Bacillariales; Bacillariaceae. The record is from RNAcentral.